This 354-nucleotide ribosomal RNA is filed under the name uncultured bacterium. Its description in RNAcentral is "bacterial SSU rRNA". It matches the Rfam family "Bacterial small subunit ribosomal RNA", at positions 634 to 987 of the family's 1533-position model. The record is from RNAcentral.
UGGGUGACUAGAGUGUGUCAGAGGGAGGUAGAAUUCCACGUGUAGCAGUGAAAUGCGUAGAGAUGUGGAGGAAUACCGAUGGCGAAGGCAGCCUCCUGGGAUAACACUGACGUUCAUGCUCGAAAGCGUGGGUAGCAAACAGGAUUAGAUACCCUGGUAGUCCACGCCCUAAACGAUGUCAAUUAGCUGUUGGGCAACUUGAUUGCUUAGUAGCGUAGCUAACGCGUGAAAUUGACCGCCUGGGGAGUACGGUCGCAAGAUUAAAACUCAAAGGAAUUGACGGGGACCCGCACAAGCGGUGGAUGAUGUGGAUUAAUUCGAUGCAACGCGAAGAACCUUACCUGGUCUUGACAU